This 103-nucleotide non-coding RNA is filed under the name Candidatus Zhuqueibacterota. RNAcentral's name for it is "Candidate division Fluoride sequence". It matches the Rfam family "Fluoride riboswitch aptamer (crcB RNA motif)". The record is from RNAcentral. Lineage: Bacteria; Pseudomonadati.
CAUUCUUUUGGCGAUGGAGUUCGCCGCAACUAUCUAUACCGACUUUUCUCAGCAGAGGUACUCUCUGCACUAGUCGGAGAAGAUUGAUGACUCCUAUUUUUAA